RNAcentral lists this unclassified non-coding RNA (260 nucleotides) under plant metagenome. RNAcentral's name for it is "partial contains small subunit ribosomal RNA and internal transcribed spacer 1". The stretch from base 1 to 47 matches the Rfam family "Eukaryotic small subunit ribosomal RNA", at positions 1785 to 1831 of the family's 1831-position model. The record is from RNAcentral.
AAAGUCGUAACAAGGUUUCCGUAGGCGAACCUGCGGAAGGAUCAUUACAAAUAAAGCUGGUAGGAAGUGGGGUCUUGAUCUGUAAGUGGUAGAGCGGACAGUCCGGCUGCCUCCCGAAAUGUCUUACAUGUCCCCACAGCUGCAGCAGCAUAUCACCACUUGAUUAUCUACACUUGUUGCUUUGGGGAUGCUACAAGUGCCCCAAGAGGACCCAACUCUCUUGCAUUUAGUGACGUCUGAGUACUAUAUAAUAUUUAAAA